Mauremys reevesii (Reeves's turtle) is the source of this 327-nucleotide long non-coding RNA. RefSeq lists it as uncharacterized. The transcript is spliced from 3 exons. The record is from RefSeq and is a predicted model, not a curated record. Lineage: Eukaryota; Metazoa; Chordata; Testudines; Geoemydidae.
CUGCAGGAUAAGGCACACAGUGUUAGUAAUGCUCACAACAAGAGUGCACGGCUGAGCAGGCUCCAUGCUUCUCAGGCUAUGGUGUAUGUGCCGUGACCGAAUCCCUUACCCGUAGCGAUGUCUGACAACAUCUCUGCUCAGUCUCUCUGCUAGGAAGAAGUAUCUGCCAGAAAGAUAACAGGCAACAAUUCCACCAGAAGAUGAUGUGCAUUGGCAUAAAGACUUGUAGUGCAUGGGCCUACCCUACUCCAGGGCCUGAAAGUUAAAAACUUUCAUCUGGAGCAGUGGGGCAAGACACAUAGCAUCUGGAUUAAACAGAGGCAGUCA